RNAcentral lists this ribosomal RNA (433 nucleotides) under uncultured bacterium. RNAcentral's name for it is "partial 16S ribosomal RNA". It matches the Rfam family "Bacterial small subunit ribosomal RNA", at positions 29 to 507 of the family's 1533-position model. The record is from RNAcentral.
AACGAACGCUGGCGGCAUGCCUAACACAUGCAAGUCGAACGAGACCUUCGGGUCUAGUGGCGCACGGGUGCGUAACGCGUGGGAACCUGCCUUUAGGUUCGGAAUAACUCAGAGAAAUUUGAGCUAAUACCGGAUGAUGUCUUCGGACCAAAGAUUUAUCGCCUUUAGAUGGGCCCGCGUUGGAUUAGCUAGUUGGUGGGGUAAAGGCCUACCAAGGCGACGAUCCAUAGCUGGUCUGAGAGGAUGAUCAGCCACACUGGGACUGAGACACGGCCCAGACUCCUACGGGAGGCAGCAGUAUUGAAUAUUGGACAAUGGGCGAAAGCCUGAUCCAGCAAUGCCGCGUGAGUGAUGAAGGCCUUAGGGUUGUAAAGCUCUUUUACCCGAGAUGAUAAUGACAGUAGCGGGAGAAUAAGCUCCGGCUAACUCCGUG